This is a long non-coding RNA of Passer domesticus (house sparrow), 516 nucleotides long. RefSeq lists it as uncharacterized. The transcript is spliced from 3 exons. The record is from RefSeq and is a predicted model, not a curated record. NCBI's taxonomy places the organism in Eukaryota, Metazoa, Chordata, Aves, Passeriformes, Passeridae.
CCCAGGCUCUGUAUGAAGUUAUUUGGCAUCAGCUGACAGGCAUCCCAAACUGUAACACACCCUGAGAUCCCCCACAAUAUCCAGCCCUGCAGAUUAGGAAUAGGGUGUCUGUUUGGAGGUAGAAGUGCUCUCAUCAUGCCACUGUAAUCUGGCCAUUUUCCUGCUCCAUAAAUUUCACAAAUAUUACCUCUGAUGCCACCACCCAAUUGGGAACAGCUCCAUCUGAUGCAGCUGUCUCCCUUCCUUUGUCAAGAGAUGGACAUAGUGCUUCAGUGGAAGGUGGCAUUUCUUGAAGGAAGCACUCCAUCUUUGAUGCCAGCCCCUGCUGCCGGAAAGAAGGCAAAGCCAGACACGGGCACAGGCACAGCAGACUGGGAUGCUGGGAAGGAUUCUCCAUUAGCCUGGCGCUCUGAAGUUGUGAAGCCCUCUGAGCAUUCUGCAGGCGUGUCUGCAGGGACGACCUCACCAACUCCUACCUUGGAUGCUGCACAAAAGCCCAGCUCCCAUCACAGGGGU